GGGUGAUCUGCCCUGCACUCUGGGAUAAGCCUGGGAAACUGGGUCUAAUACUGGAUAUGACCUCAGCAUGCAUGUGCUGGGGUGGAAAGCUUUUGUGGUGCAGGAUGGGCCCGCGGCCUAUCAGCUUGUUGGUGGGGUAAUGGCCUACCAAGGCGACGACGGGUAGCCGACCUGAGAGGGUGACCGGCCACACUGGGACUGAGACACGGCCCAGACUCCUACGGGAGGCAGCAGUGGGGAAUAUUGCACAAUGGGCGGAAGCCUGAUGCAGCGACGCCGCGUGAGGGAUGAAGGCCUUCGGGUUGUAAACCUCUUUCAGCAGGGACGAAGCGUGAGUGACGGUACCUGCAGAAGAAGCACCGGCUAACUACGUGCCAGCAGCCGCGGUAAUACGUAGGGUGCGAGCGUUGUCCGGAAUUACUGGGCGUAAAGAGUUCGUAGGCGGUUUGUCGCGUCGUUUGUGAAAACCCGGGGCUCAACUUCGGGCUUGCAGGCGAUACGGGCAGACUUGAGUGUUUCAGGGGAGACUGGAAUUCCUGGU
This 541-nucleotide ribosomal RNA is filed under the name uncultured bacterium. RNAcentral's name for it is "bacterial SSU rRNA". It matches the Rfam family "Bacterial small subunit ribosomal RNA", at positions 119 to 674 of the family's 1533-position model. The record is from RNAcentral.